GAGUGAGCGGCAAAAGCUCAAAUUUGAAAUCUAACACUUUCAGUGUUCGAGUUGUAAUUUGAAGAAAGUUUCUCUGAGUAGUCCUUUAUCUAUGUUCCUUGGAACAGGACGUCAUAGAGGGUGAGAAUCCCGUAUGAUUUUGGAUACUAUUCUUUGUGAGAUUCUUUCGAAGAGUCGAGUUGUUUGGGAAUGCAGCUCUAAGUGGGUGGUAAAUUCCAUCUAAAGCUAAAUAUUGGCGAGAGACCGAUAGCGAACAAGUACAGUGAUGGAAAGAUGAAAAGAACUCUGAAGAGAGAGUGAAAAAGUACGUGAAAUUGCUGAAAGGGAAGGGCUUUAGGUCAGACUUGGUGUUUAAUGAUUAUCUUCUCUUUUUGAGUUGUGCACUCGUUUUUCACUGGGCCAAUAUCAGUUUUUGUGGUAGAGCACCUAUUGGAAUGUAGCUUUUCUUCGGAUGAGUGUUAUAGCCUUUAGACGAUCUAUUUACGGAGACUGAGGACUGCGCGUUAUGCUAGGAUAUUGGCGUAAUGACCUUAAGCYGCCCGUCUUGAAACACKGAYGCA
Molecule: ribosomal RNA, 560 nt
Filed under: Saccharomycopsis crataegensis
Lineage: Eukaryota; Fungi; Ascomycota; Saccharomycetes; Ascoideales; Saccharomycopsidaceae
Description: partial large subunit ribosomal RNA
Source: RNAcentral